AGUGAACGCUGGCGGUAGGCCUAACACAUGCAAGUCGAACGGCAGCACAGUAAGAGCUUGCUCUUACGGGUGGCGAGUGGCGGACGGGUGAGGAAUACAUCGGAAUCUACUUUUUCGUGGGGGAUAACGUAGGGAAACUUACGCUAAUACCGCAUACGACCUACGGGUGAAAGCAGGGGAUCUUCGGACCUUGCGCGAUUGAAUGAGCCGAUGUCGGAUUAGCUAGUUGGCGGGGUAAAGGCCCACCAAGGCGACGAUCCGUAGCUGGUCUGAGAGGAUGAGCAGCCACACUGGAACUGAGACACGGUCCAGACGCCUAGGGGAGGCAGCAGUGGGGAAUAUUGGAGAAUGGGCGCAAGCCUGAUCCAGCCAUACCGCGUGGGUGAAGAAGGCCUUCGGGUUGUAAAGCCCUUUUGUUGGGAAAGAAAAGCAGCAGGUUAAUACCCCGCUGUUCUGACGGUACCCAAAGAAUAAGCACCGGCUAACUUCGUG
RNAcentral lists this ribosomal RNA (492 nucleotides) under uncultured bacterium. RNAcentral describes it as "partial 16S ribosomal RNA". It matches the Rfam family "Bacterial small subunit ribosomal RNA", at positions 29 to 507 of the family's 1533-position model. The record is from RNAcentral.